AUUGAACGCUGGCGGCAUGCCUUACACAUGCAAGUCGAACGGCAGCACGGACUUCGGUCUGGUGGCGAGUGGCGAACGGGUGAGUAAUGUAUCGGAACGUGCCUGGUUGUGGGGGAUAACUAGUCGAAAGGUUAGCUAAUACCGCAUACGACCUACGGGUGAAAGCAGGGGACCUUCGGGCCUUGUGCUAUCAGGGCGGCCGAUAUCUGAGUAGCUAGUUGGUGGGGUAAAGGCCCACCAAGGCGACGAUCAGUAGCUGGUCUGAGAGGACGACCAGCCACACUGGAACUGAGACACGGUCCAGACUCCUACGGGAGGCAGCAGUGGGGAAUUGUGGACAAUGGGGGCAACCCUGAUCCAGCAAUGCCGCGUGAGUGAAGAAGGCCCUCGGGUUGUAAAGCUCUUUUGUCAGGGAAGAAAAGGUUGUGGCUAAUAUCCACAGCUGAUGACGGUACCUGAAGAAUAAGCACCGGCUAACUACGUGCCAGCAGCCGCC
This 496-nucleotide ribosomal RNA is filed under the name uncultured bacterium. Its description in RNAcentral is "bacterial SSU rRNA". It matches the Rfam family "Bacterial small subunit ribosomal RNA", at positions 30 to 519 of the family's 1533-position model. The record is from RNAcentral.